UUAGAGUUUGAUCCUGGCUCAGAAUCAACGCUGGCGGCGCGCUUAACACAUGUAAGUCGCACGAGAAAGGGAGCAAUCCUGAGUAUAGUGGCGCACGGGUGAGUAACACGUGGAUGAUCUACCUCCUUGUGGGGAAUAACCCUGGGAAACCGGGGCUAAUACCGCAUACGUCCGAGAGGAGAAAGCCGAAAGGCGCAGGGAGAGGAGUCCGCGGUCGAUUAGCUAGUUGGCAGGGUAAUGGCCUACCAAGGCGACGAUCGAUAGCCGGCCUGAGAGGGCACACGGCCACACUGGCACUGAAACACGGGCCAGACUCCUACGGGAGGCAGCAGUGGGGAAUCUUGCACAAUGGGGGAAACCCUGAUGCAGCGACGCCGCGUGAACGAUGAAGCCCUUCGGGGUGUAAAGUUCUUUCGACGGGGACGAUAAUGACGGUACCCGGAGAAGAAGCUGCGGCUAACUACGUGCCAGCAGCCGCGGUAAUACGUAGGCAGCAAGCGUUGUUCGGAAUUACUGGGCGUAAAGAGUGCGUAGGCGGUUGACUAAGUUUGGUGUGAAAUCUCCCGGCUUAACUGGGAGGGUGCGCCGAAAACUGGCCAGCUAGAGUGUGGGAGAGGAUAGUGGAAUUCCUGGUGUAGCGGUGAAAUGCGUAGAUAUCAGGAGGAACACCUGCGGUGUAGACGGCUAUCUGGACCAUGACUGACGCUGAGGCACGAAAGCGUGGGUAGCAAACAGGAUUAGAUACCCUGGUAGUCCACGCCCUAAACGAUGCAAACUUGGUGUGCGCCCUUCAUUGGGUGCGUGCCGUAGCUAACGCGUUAAGUUUGCCGCCUGGGGAGUACGGUCGCAAGGCUGAAACUCAAAGGAAUUG
This 871-nucleotide ribosomal RNA is filed under the name uncultured bacterium. Its description in RNAcentral is "bacterial SSU rRNA". It matches the Rfam family "Bacterial small subunit ribosomal RNA", at positions 1 to 912 of the family's 1533-position model. The record is from RNAcentral.